CGGAGUGUAAGCCAGCGGUCAGACGGCCUGCUUUGGGAGCAGGCAGACGGGAGUUCGAAUCUCUCCACUCCGACCA
Molecule: transfer RNA, 76 nt
Filed under: Pseudomonadota bacterium
Lineage: Bacteria; Pseudomonadati; Pseudomonadota
Also listed under: 3 other names
Description: tRNA-Pro
Rfam family: tRNA
About the family: Transfer RNA (tRNA) molecules are approximately 80 nucleotides in length.
Source: RNAcentral